Long non-coding RNA from Planococcus citri (citrus mealybug), 748 nucleotides. RefSeq lists it as uncharacterized. NCBI's taxonomy places the organism in Eukaryota, Metazoa, Arthropoda, Insecta, Hemiptera, Pseudococcidae. The record is from RefSeq and is a predicted model, not a curated record. The transcript is spliced from 2 exons.
CGUACGUUUACCUACUGAGGCAGAAAUUAAUUUUUUUUUGAAAAAUUUGUUUUCAAUGUAACAUUAACACCGCAUAAUUUUCGGGUAUUCGUACGUAUACAUUUACUCAAUAAGGCAGAAAUAAUUUUUUUGUGAAAAAUAUGGUUUUAUUGGAAUAUAUACUGCAUAAUUUUCGUGUAUACCUACUAAUCGCUAUUCGUACAUAGGUACUUAAUGAGGUCAAAAUUAAUUUUUUUUUAAACACUUGUUUUCAUUGUAAAGUAACAUUAAAGCUGCAUAAUUUUCGUGCGAUUGGUUAAAAACUUAAUGUUAAAGCAUAAUGUGUUGGUAUAUUGUUCAAACGAAAUUGACUAUGUAUCUGGUUCAAAGAUUGAUUUCUAAGGAAUGUGGACCUAGUACUUGCAAAAGUGAAUAGCUGAAGCUCCCUGACACAAGAUACAUACUAUGGAUCUCAAAUUGUGAAAGUUGCUGUAAAAAUUCACCGUUUAGUGAUAAUUCCCGUAAAAAAGUGAUCACGAGUAGAGUGGAUCGAAUUUAUUACUCGACAAAGACCAGUCACAAUUUGUUGUUUGUUAUUACAUCCAUGAUUAUGACUCCAGUGAUUUGUUAUGAUUUCCUGGAAAAAACAGAGACCUAUGGGAAUAAUGCAAGUAUUUGAUUUCGUUUAGAUUAUUUUUUACAAUUAUUAUUAUUUUUCAUUUUUAUCAAUUUUUUUUUCAAUUAAGAAAUAAACAUUAGACCACUUUUC